AUGAACGCUGGCGGCGUGCCUAAUACAUGCAAGUCGAGCGAACAGACGAGGAGCUUGCUCCUCUGACGUUAGCGGCGGACGGGUGAGUAACACGUGGAUAACCUACCUAUAAGACUGGGAUAACUUCGGGAAACCGGAGCUAAUACCGGAUAAUAUAUUGAACCGCAUGGUUCAAUAGGGAAAGACGGUUUUGCUGUCACUUAUAGAUGGAUCCGCGCCGCAUUAGCUAGUUGGUAAGGUAACGGCUUACCAAGGCGACGAUGCGUAGCCGACCUGAGAGGGUGAUCGGCCACACUGGAACUGAGACACGGUCCAGACUCCUACGGGAGGCAGCAGUAGGGAAUCUUCCGCAAUGGGCGAAAGCUUGACGGAGCAACGCCGCGUGAGUGAUGAAGGUCUUCGGAUCGUAAAACUCUGUUAUUAGGGAAGAACAAAUGUGUAAGUAACUAUGCACGUCUUGACGGUACCUAAUCAGAAAGCCACGGCUAACUACGUG
Molecule: ribosomal RNA, 496 nt
Filed under: uncultured bacterium
Lineage: Bacteria
Description: partial 16S ribosomal RNA
Rfam family: Bacterial small subunit ribosomal RNA
Source: RNAcentral